UGAAACAAUGAAAUCUAUGUAUCAUGAAAAAAGAGUUAUGAUUAAUCUAAUUCUAUGCACCUGAAGUCCUAU
RNAcentral lists this small nucleolar RNA (72 nucleotides) under Tursiops truncatus (common bottlenose dolphin). RNAcentral describes it as "Small nucleolar RNA SNORD112 (ENSTTRG00000025331.1)". The record is from RNAcentral. Lineage: Eukaryota; Metazoa; Chordata; Mammalia; Artiodactyla; Delphinidae.